This 510-nucleotide ribosomal RNA is filed under the name uncultured bacterium. RNAcentral's name for it is "bacterial SSU rRNA". It matches the Rfam family "Bacterial small subunit ribosomal RNA", at positions 19 to 518 of the family's 1533-position model. The record is from RNAcentral.
CUGGCUCAGAAUAAACGCUGGCGGCGUGUCUUAAGCAUGCAAGUCGAACGGCAAGGUACCUUCGGGUACCCUAGAGUGGCGGACUGGUGAGUAACACGUAGGUGACGUACCUUUGGACGGGGAUAGCCCGUAGAAAUACGGGAUAAUACCGGAUAAGGUUGCACGGGUUGGAGCCGUGCAAGGAAAGGCGCUACGGCGUCGCCGAAAGAACGGCCUGCGACCUAUCAGCUUGUUGGUGAGGUAAAGGCCCACCAAGGCAAUGACAGGUAUCCGGCCUGAGAGGGUGAUCGGACACAUUGGGACUGAGAUACGGCCCAGACUCCUACGGGAGGCAGCAGCUAAGAAUAUUCCGCAAUGGACGAAAGUCUGACGGAGCAACGCCGCGUGGAAUGAUGAAGGCCGGAAGGUUGUAAAAUCCUUUUAUAAUUGAGGAAUAAGCCGGGUAGGGAAUGACCUGGUGGUGACUGUAGAUUAUGAAUAAGCACCGGCUAAUUACGUGCCAGCCGCCGC